Molecule: ribosomal RNA, 929 nt
Filed under: uncultured Gammaproteobacteria bacterium
Lineage: Bacteria; Pseudomonadati; Pseudomonadota; Gammaproteobacteria
Description: bacterial SSU rRNA
Rfam family: Bacterial small subunit ribosomal RNA
Source: RNAcentral
AGAGUUUGAUCAUGGCUCAGAUUGAACGUUGGCGGCAGGUUUCAUACAUGCAAGUCGAACGAGUAAUCGCCCUUCGGGGUGUGCGCUAGUGGCGGACGGGUGAGUAACGCGUAGGAAUCUACCUAGUAGUGGGGAAUAACGUCAGGAGACUGAUGCUAAUACCGCAUACGACCUAAGGGUGAAAGCGGGGGAUCUUUUGACCUCGCGCCAUUAGAGGAGCCUGCGUUAGAUUAGCUUGUUGGUGAGGUAAUGGCUCACCAAGGCGACGAUCUAUAGCUGGUCUGAGAGGACGAUCAGCCACACUGGAACUGAGACACAGUCCAGACUUCUAAGGAAGGCAGCAGUAGAGAAUAUUGCACAAUAGGGGAAACCCAGAUGCAGGCAUGCCGCGUGUGUGAUUGACGGCCUUAGGGUUGUAAAGCACUUUCGAUGGUGAAGAGAGCUGGCGCGCUAAUACCGCGAUCCAGUUAGACGUUAACCAUUAAAGAAGCACCGGCUAACUUCGUGCCAGCAGCCGCGGUAAUACGGAGGGUGCAAACGUUAAUCGGAAUUACUGGGCGUAAAGCGCACGUAGGUGGAUUGUCAAGUGGGAUGUGAAAGCCCUAGGCUUAACCUGGGAAUUGCAUUCCAAACUGACUAUCUAGAGUGUAGUAGAGGAAAGUGGAAUUUGCUGUGUAGCGGUGAAAUGCGUAGAUAUGGCAAGGAACAUCAGUGGCGAAGGCGGCUUUCUGGACUAACACUGACACUGAGGUGCGAAAGCGUGGGUAGCGAACAGGAUUAGAUACCCUGGUAGUCCACGCCGUAAACGAUGAGAACUAGCCGUAGGGACCUUCGGGUUUUUGUGGCGCAGCUAACGCGAUAAGUUCUCCGCCUGGGGACUACGACCGCAAGGUUAAAACUCAAAUGAAUUGACGGGAGCCCGCACAAGC